CAAAUGGACAAGGACGGCUAACUAUAUUUGGUACAAGAGAUGUAAAUUUCAGUGAUACACGAGAAAACCCAAACUCUAAUGUGUUUACCUUGUGAAUAGUUUGUUACAGGUCCUUAACAUCUUUUGAGCCACAGUUCUCAUGAUGGUAUCCUUCCGCCCACACGCACGCUUAACUUAACUGUUUCCCACUUGGCUUUGUUCUCCUCCUAAAAUUGAGGCUCCACAAAGACGAAUGAGACGUGCUUCAAACUAUCACAAUACAGAUGCGAUGCGGUCGUUUCGACCACCAGGUGGGAUUGUUUUCAGCUGAUUAAUGACGUCACUACCACAUCCGGGUUGGCCUUCUCAAAUAUGGUGCGCCUCCACGCCGUCCACCUGCCGAAGCGCUCGUCUCUGCUCUGCUUCCAGCUGCUCCACGACCUUCUUCCUGGCCUCUCCCACUGCCUCCUGCAGCUUGACAAAGUGCUGCUCCACCUCAGAUAGCGCCUCCUCCACCACAGACUGAAAACAACACCAAGGAAACACAUUAUGCCAGGCAUGUCCCAUCAAAGGCUACAUAUUCUUCGCCCUACAUUUAGCCUUUUCCCUCUAUUCUAUUUUGUAUUUCUAUUUUUAUUUGUACUACAGGUACAGGCAGUACCCAAAUGGACACCAAAUUGGACAACCCUGCUUUAAACACGGAUUGCACCUAGUGACCUCAAUAUGAGUGCGGGCCUCCCCCACAGACACGAUGGCGUGACCUCCGUGCCCCUGACCUUGACAGUCGGAGCACAAGCAGCAACCGUCUGUCAGACAGUAGUGCUCCAGCAGAAGGUGAUGAACAUCGCACCUGCUGCAGUCCAUGUGAUGUUGCGGCUCCACCAGACGAUGGCUCUGGAACUUGGCAUUCUUCAGGUGAGGUCUGAGGUGAUCCUCGCAGAAGGACACCAGACAGGUCAGGCAGGAUUUGACGGCCUUGCAGGGGUCGCCCAUGCAAGAGUCGCAUGGCACAUCUUGCUUGUCCGUUGUUUGAUCCCUCGUAUGCUCCUCCAUGUUGAAAUCUUCCUCACUGUUAGUUGUCGUCAUGUUUGUUGUCCAAUGUUUUUUUUUUUUUUUAACAUGCUCAGCCCCUUCUGAGAGUGUAAGGAAAUACUUCCAAACCACGCCUGUUAUUUUGUACUCAUUUUGCACCCCUCCCCGAGUUUACGCUGCCUGACUAAUCUGAGGACUUGCACACAGCCUCAAAAGAUAAGAGGAGGAAAUGACGAGUCCGGAUGAAUGCGCUUCCUGCUGCACAUUUGGUGUUUGCUCUGCUUGAAUGUAUUAUUUACAGUAUGUGGGAGCUAGUGUUUCAUUUUAAUGCACUGUUUCCUCACUACUUGAUAUGCAGGCUGCAGUGACGCUGUGUUAUGUGUGUGGGUGUGUGCACUGACGCAUCGGCAUAAGCGUAAAAUGUCUACAUAAACACUCAAUAUGACGUACUCACUUAAAGUGCACUUGAUCUAUGCAAGAGCAAAAGCAAACAUGUAGUUUAAUGCAUUUAUGAUAUAUCAAAAUACUAGAACAUUCAAAUCAAAUUAUAAAGACAGGCAUCUGUUUUUGUGCAGGAUGAGAAUGUUCAAAGAUAAGGCUAACAUUAUCUAUACCAAUAUUGACUCAACGUGCACUAUAUAUUUGUACACAUAUGCAAGUAUUAUAAGUAGUGAUGUCCGAUAUUGGCUUUUUUGAUAACCAAUAUACCAAUACCUAUACCAAUAUGUGUAACAUCACAUAUAUUUUUCUUGAGUAACUGAAUGCACUGACUGCAUUUUCUCUGCAAAUACUAUGUACAUAUGUGCUACAUGCUCUACAUCGCUAAAAGGAAGAUCCCCACACUGAUAUCACCAUUUUUUUUGCAGACAUGCCUAAUUAUAAAGGUUUCCAUGGUAAAUCAGAGCCAACCAGGUCAUAUCAGGUUUGCUGUGAGUGUAAACAUGGCCAUCAAAUACAAAUGAAAAACAUAGAGGAGCAUGCAGGAUCAUUUCAAAAGAAAAUGCAUGUCAAGUGUGUUUAGUUGAAAACAAGAGACAUUUUAAAGUGAAUGCACAGGCACGAGCCAUGCAGGCACAUGACGCUUGGUUGACCCCAUUGGGGAAAACAUGGUUAAAGAAAAGUGUGGUCAAUGACCCAGCAAGUUUGUUCAACUUUAAAUAUUUGCAUAGGUCACCUCCAGUAUUCCUUUAUGGUCUGUAAACAAGGCAGGAAGAUCAUUUAGUUCUCUCAGUUUUGUCUUCAUGAAGUAUUGAUACUCUGACUUCCAUUUGAAUCAUCUGCACAACAGAAAGAGAACAAAGGCCCACCAUAAGAUUUGCCAUAGAAAACCACUACUGCACUAAUUCUGUGUGCAAGAGGGUAUUGUGUGUGUAGAUGGUGUUCGGAUCUGAGUUUAAAUUGUCAUUAUAGUUCAUCCACAUUAUACUGUAUAUAAUUAAGUUUUGCAUGACGAUUGGAUGGAGACAAAAGCAACUAGAGUAUUUUAAAAGACAACAUUUAAAAGCCUGGCUGCAGACCUCCCUGCUGACUAAUGUAAUAGUAGUCCGCACAUAGAGCAGCUAAGUAAGCAGGUCAUGGUUGGAAAUGUGACUCUCCUGACCUCCAUCUAGCAGAUCCAAGACUGCAGACUUCCAUUUUAGUCACUGUGUUGUUGUGUUGAAAGGUUUUUUUGUAGCAGUAGAAUCCCUUUUCAUGAAAUGUUUUACAGUUGUAUUUGACAAUGUACAUGCAUGCACGUGAAACAAAAACAUACAUGCAGGCAAUAUUGUCACACUGUUACACUGAUUCAGACACCUUUGUAUUGGAUCUCGUUAGAUUGUGCAGGUGACCACAUUGGACACACAGUAGGAAGUGCACUCACAGUUCAGUGUCCUCAAUGGACUCUGGGUCCUCGAUGGUUUCCAGGCGUCUCUGACAGGCAUCUAAAAUCUUUUUCCUGGGACCUAAAGGGAUGUGGAUGCUCUUGAGAUCAUGAUCAGAGCACAGCAGCAGUGCUUCCAGGUCGAUCUUUUCCCUCCUGAAGAUGGAGAAGAAGUCGCUCAUACUCUGUGCGGCCAAGAACACCUCCAACGGGCUGGUGUGGGCUUCAUCAUCGUCGUCCAGCCCUAAUUCCACCUCCUCCCAGGGAAGCUCAUCGAGGUUCCUCUCCUGCAGGCUGCGAGCACUCCCGAUGCUGUCCUCAUCCAGACUGCGGUGGGGAUGCAGCCUGCUGCGGAGACGCACCGUGUUGCCCGUGUCGUCAGCUCCCUCUUGACCAUUCAGGUCAAACAUCCCCCCGCUCACGUAGUUUCUCCUGAAGACCAUGGUGCCCAAACCAGGCCGGUUGAACAGGGAAUCAUGUCCAGAGUCUGUGCUGACCUCUGAGUGGUCCACAUAGUUUCCAUGGAGGUCCGGCUCGCUGAUGGCACGUGAAAUGGUGUCGUCGUCUCUGGGGAACAUGUCACGGAUGUUGCGGCGACCAUAUUCCUUGGGGUUGACGUACGUGCCCGGUUUGAUGAACAUGACAUCGUUGCCCAGCUGGAGUCCAGAGAGGGAGCGCACACUCUUCCUCCCGUCCUCGUAGAUCUUAAAGGUCCCGUCUCCUUGUUUUUUCUUCUCCAGCUUCUUCUGGAUCUUUGUCUUCCCUCGAUUCGUGGCAUGAAGGGUAGCCUGGCAACACAGCAAGCAGAUGUAGUUCAGUGACAUGCAAUCAAACAAUGAACCUUCAUUUGUUCAUACAGUGGUGUGAAAAAGCCCUCUUCCUUUUGCCUCUUUUUUUGCACAUUUGUCACACUUAAAUGUUUUGGAUCAUCAAAAAAAUACCACACACAGGGCCAUGUAGUUCUGGAAUGUUUUCCCUUAAUAAUAAAGAGUUUAAUUAAAAAAUGCAUUUUGUGUUCAGUUGUGUUUGAUGAUCUGAAACAUUUAAGUGUGACAAAAAACGUACAGAAGGGGCCAAAUACUAGUUCACACCACUGUAGUAUGUACAAUAUGUUGGUGGUUAAUCUUUCCAUCUAUCCCCUUGUCUAUCCAUCCUCUAUCUAUCUGUCUUUCAGUCAGUCUGUCUGACCAUUCACCCGUCUGACAGUGGGACCCAUAUCUGUUGAUUUGUCUGUCAGUCUUUCUGUUUUGCUGCUUAAUAAUUGUGCUCUUAAUUAAUUAUUCUAUAAUUUUGACCUUUCAUAUAAGAAAAAGAUUAUCAUCAAAAUUAUGAUUUAAAGAUUGUGUCAUGUCAUCAUUGUGUCAUGUCACAUUUAAGCCACUCAAGUGUAGUGUACCUGUGCGAGGCAUACUUUAUUAGCUACAAAUCACAGGCCAUCACCAGCUCACACAUCAUUCCACGCCGUAGUGGAUAAGACAUUACCAACGUAUAAUGCAGAAUAUUAACCAACUACUAUGUGUAUAUGAGCUUGAACCAUGUGCAAGAUGGCAGCGCUUCCUGAACUAGUUCCUCUGUACUCAGGCAAGCAAACUUCUUAUGUGUGUGUGUCUAUGUAUGUGCGAGUGUGUGUGUAUAUGUGUCUUGUUGUCUU
Doryrhamphus excisus (bluestripe pipefish) is the source of this 4523-nucleotide non-coding RNA. The record is from RefSeq and is a predicted model, not a curated record. Lineage: Eukaryota; Metazoa; Chordata; Actinopteri; Syngnathiformes; Syngnathidae.